Chroicocephalus ridibundus (black-headed gull) is the source of this 1043-nucleotide long non-coding RNA. RefSeq lists it as uncharacterized. The record is from RefSeq and is a predicted model, not a curated record. Lineage: Eukaryota; Metazoa; Chordata; Aves; Charadriiformes; Laridae. The transcript has 4 exons.
CCUUUAUAAGGGAUGGUUCCUAAGGGUGCUUGUUCUGCUGCUUCAUCCUGUUUGCAAGUAGUCUGCCUGCUUGGGCCUGGAUGUCUUCACUGCAUCAAGAGAAGAUCUGCACAAGGGACUGGAAAUCACCAGUGAUGCUCAGACAUGGCAGUAGUUUUACUCCGGGACACAAGACACAUCAGACUAUACCAUUUAUGUGGGCAAAUUAAUCUCUGGAGCUUGCAAGAUGCAAAGAAAUAUUUGACAGCUGGGAACCAAAGAAAUUAAGGAAGAGAUUUUGCUACCUAAAACCAGGACAGGAGAGAAACAACUGUGUUCGGGAUUUCACUGCCAGCAGCAGCUGUUAGAGAAUUUCAUAUCUUUCCUGAACUCUUUCUCUAUCAACACAAAGCAGCUAACCCCAAGCCUGCUGUUCAGUCAAAAUCAAGCUGUCUCCUCAGUAUGAUGGGACUCUGCUUUCCAAGGGCAUGAAGAAACACAAACAUUAUGAGGCAUGAAUUACUAAAUUUUUGAGCUGUAUUCGGGUGAAAAACACAUCUGUUGUGGUGACCAUUUUAAUAAGUAAUUUGCAUUGAUGAAGACAGGCCCAUGCUGUAGAAACAGAAGCAUUUGUAGAGGCAGUUGUAGCAAAACACAGCAAGCUCUGUCAAAGGAAUCAAUUCAUUUGCUUAAUCAUUAUAUUACUAAUCAGACGGAAUUGGUGCUGAGGUAUUGUCAUAUAAGGCAUGAGGGUACCUGAAAGAGUUGUAAAAAUGUACUGUGUGCUGAACCGUGGACUCUGCAAAUGAAACAUUUCUUUUCCAGUAUAACCUCUACUGGUUUUCUGGUGCUGGUUGUACAGAACAAAAGCUUAUCAUUUAUUAAGCAAUAGACCUUGCUACCAUACUAAACUAGACCUUUUUCCCCUCUGAACCUCUCAGUUCUGUAUGAUACAGGGGGAUGUUUUGGAUGGGGGUUUCAGAAUAACUGAUUAUUUGUUGGGAGUGAGGUGUGGAUUUGGUACCUUGGAUAGAAAAAACAAGGCAGAGAAACCCCUGGGAAGA